This 3912-nucleotide long non-coding RNA is filed under the name Manihot esculenta (cassava). RNAcentral's name for it is "long non-coding RNA (MESC_LNC000538)". The record is from RNAcentral. Lineage: Eukaryota; Viridiplantae; Streptophyta; Magnoliopsida; Malpighiales; Euphorbiaceae.
UUUUUUUUUUCCUAUCAAAGGCAGAGAAUUCAUUAAUAGAAAGCAAGUUACAAAUAUACGGCCCAAGGCGCAAUAAUAUAAAACUCUCAACUGAUACACUCCAACCCCAUAAAUUAAAGAGCCCAAACAAGCCCAAACUAGAAAACCCUAGGCUACUGAAGCUCUUCGAGAAGAUCCGGUCAUCGCUUUGUGCAGCGCCAUAGCCAUUUUCUGGACAUCAGGUGAAAGAAACAGAAGAUCAAUUUCAGAAAAACAAAUGACAAAGACUUUUGACUCUACAACAAUCUUAAAGGAUCGUCAUCUCACGCUCAAAGUCUACUCAAACAGGAGGAAGGAGAUAACAACAUCAGAAAACUCAACGGUGGCUUGACAGUACUCAUCGUUAUUAUUUGAAAGACCAGAUAAACCAUAAAACAACAGGUACCAUGAGCGUCUCCUGAGAUGUCAAAGCCUAACCAUGAUCCAUGAGCUCAACUUGCAAAAGAACUAAAAAAACAAACAACAAUAAUAUAAGAUAAAAGCAUAUCCAAUGGACCAAUAAUAUACAAAACCUCCACCAUGCAAGGUGGAAUCGCUCGCCCAAAUCAACAAAACUCAUGUCCGAGAAAAAUGUAAUGAUGAAAAAGUGCACUUUAUUUUUUUUAAUUUCUCAUAUUCUAUUAAUUUCAUUAAUUUAAUCUCUAACUAUAAAUAUUUUUAACAAUACUAAUGUAUUUAAACAAUAUAAAAUUUAUAUAUACAUGGAAUGCAUUUAAAUCCCAACUAAGUAUGUGUGGCCGAUAGUUUUGUGUAAUGUCUUUUAUAAAAUAAUGUUCAAGAUGGUUGCAAAUCGACUUAAAAGCUUGCCUUGAAUUAUUUCUCCAUCGGAGUUGGCAUUUGUUGCCGGGAGAAGCAUCCAUGAUAAUACUAUCAUUGCCUUUGAGCUUAUGUACUUUUUCAAAGGUAAAAGCGCUAUGGUCGUGAGAGCUAUGGUGCCUUAAAACAGUGGAUGAGUGUGAUCAUGCACUGUAUUACUUUAGUCACAACUAUCGUAUUGUUCAUGAUGGGAAGGAAUUGGAUCCAAUUAUGUCUACACGAGGAUUGAGACAAGGAGAUUCCUUGUCCCCAUAUAUAUUUAUCUUGUAUGCUGAGGGACUUCACAGCUUAUCUCGCACAAGGCGACUAUCUUGGCUUUACAUGGUAGUCGAGUCGCUAGAAGAUGCUCUGAGAUAACUCAUCUCUUCUUCAUCGAUGAUAGCUUGAUUUUCUUCUAUAGUACUGUUGCUAAGGCUCAGGUUGUGAAGGAGGUGGUUUCUACUUAUGCGUUCACUAAAUCUACCGUAUGCUUCUCUAAGAACAUGAGAUAGAAUGAUCGAGUUGCUGUGUGCUCUGUGUUAGGCAUGAAAGAGCAUUCAAAUUUGUGCAAAUAUUUGGGUCUUCUAUCAGUAGUGGGUAUAAACAAAAUGGAAAUAUUUGGUUUUUUGAAGGACAAAGUGUGGCAGAAACUUAACUCCUGGAAACGUCAUUGCUUGUCUCAUACAAGUAAAGAAAUCUUACUAAAAACAGUGCUUGAAGCACUUCCUAAUUAUGUGAUGAGCAUGUUCCUAAUCCUAAGACUCUCAGUCACGAGCUCCAACAGAUGAUGAAUAUGCUUUGAUGGAUAAAGGUAUUAACCAUAAUAUGCUUUGAUGGAUAAAGGUAUUAACCAUAAAAGGAGAAUCUAUUGGAUGAGUUGGGAUAGAAUGAGUCAACCAAAAUUUGUUGGAGAAUUGGGCUUAGUUCAAAUUGGCUAUGGUUUUCCAAGCUUGGAAUAUUGUGACUAAUCCUUCUUCUUUGGUGGCAAAUUGUGACUAACCCUUCUUCUUUGGUGGCAAGGUUAAUUAAAGCUCGUUAUUUUCCUAUGCUAAUUUUAUUUCAGCUUGUUAGGUCCAAUCCAGGUGAUCCAAUCCAGGGUGGUCCAAUCGAAGCAUUUGGGAAGCACAAUAUGUUAUUAAGGUUCACUCAUAUGAUGGUUCUUUUGUUGGCGCUCGUCAAUUUUGACUCCUUAGCUAAUUGCCAUUAGAAAAGUUCUGAGUUGGAUUAAGGGAUUGGGUUAUGAUCAAAUAGUGUUGGAAUCAAAUACUCUUAUGGUAGUGAAGACUUUGCUUUCCUCUUCAAGUUCUGAUUUUUCUAACGUUGAACCCCUUGUUGAUGAUCGUAAAUCUCUAAUCUCUAAUGGCAGAGAUGAAUUAAGUAUGUUGUUCCUGAGUCUGCCGAUAAUAUGACACAUCUUAUAGCUCUGCAGUCCACAAUUGAUUUGUUCAUGCUUUGAUGUUUGACUUUUAAAUUUGGGUGGCUGUGAACUCCUUCACAAUUAAUUAUUUGUUCCUACUUUCAAAUUUGAAUGUAAUUAUACUUUUAGUUCAAAAAAAAAACCCAACUAAGCAUAUUAUAUAAGAAGGCCCACCUCGGCCCAAAGUCAAAGUACAAGACCCAAUCUAAAAAUCCAACAACUAUCCUAUAAGAAGCCCAGCCCACCCAAGAAGGACCCAGAAGACAAGCACAGAUUCACUACCACCUCCAACACUGCCAACACCUUCAGAAAACUUGAAGGAGUGAAUGAAAGAGAAAAUUGAGCGAAAUCAAAGCAUGCCUGAAACAAAGGAGAAGCCCAAGCAACAACAACCAAGCAUACAAAACUAAUUUAUCAAGCAGAGCUUCCAAAAACACCAAAAUGGAACGCACAAACUUACAGGAGCAUCGAUGAAAGCCACCAGAAGAAGAAAAUGGUGCCAUGGCAGUUUCAUUCUCACAUCGCCAUGGAGGGACUGUUUUGAGGCAAACUACCACUCUGAUACCCAUUCCACCCAUCUUUCCAAAAAUCUGAUAGCAAACAACAGCAUUAGAGGCAUCCGGACGCCAGGCUCUUCACAUGCAAGACUAACUCAAAUAUGGAUCGGCCAAACAACCCACUCUCAACAUCAUACGACUUAGCAAAAAAACAAACAACCACACCGACCGAAGAGAGUCGCCGUGGGUAAGCAAUCCAACAUCGGCCGGAGGCAACCAUUGCCCAAACGAGCAGAGAAGCCUCACACACAACAGACAAAUGCCUGUCAAACGAGAUAAACAAAACGGCCACCAAACCCUCCUUCCAUAAAAGCGUCGAUUGCCCUUCCUGACGAGCGCUUUCCUCUCUUUUUCUUACUCUUUCUCUUUCUCUCUCUCGUUCUCUUUUAAAUUAAAAUAUUUUCGGUAUUGUGUUUGUAGUUUUAUUUUUAUUUAAAAAAACAUUAGGUUUUAUAAUUAGCAGGGUUAGGAUAAAACUUGUUUUAUAAAAAUAAAUGUUUUAAAAAACAACAGCACCGAAACAAGGGUAGUUCGGUUAGUUGGGACUUGUGUUAGGAUAAAACUAAGGCAGGAUAGUAAAAUGCACGCUGUGGAUUGGAGUUGCUGGCUUUAAAUUAGCAUGUUGAAUCAACUAAUUAAAGUCUAGAAAAUUAAUGGUCUGUGACCUUGUGAUUCGAGCCUGUCUAGUAUGGGUGGAAUUGAAAGUCUAAUUCUGGGUAUUUUGUUUUGUGUUGUAUGGAAGCAUUUGCUGAAUGUGUUUUGAUUUUCAGAUGGCUGUGGUAUGGAAGUGGUAAAGAUGUUCUAUGCCACUAUUUAUGUUUUGAAAGAUGCGACUGUGUUUUAGAAUGGAUAAUGCAGGAUGCAGGAUGUUUGCUGCUAUUAUGUGUUUUGAGUUCUUUAAGGAGUGAAAUGGAAGGUUCAUGAAGAGUAUUAGACCUUCAAUUGAUGUACCGUUGGUUUUAAGUUUCUUAUUGGUUAAUAAUUUACAAGUCAUUGUUGAUUGAUUGGCAUUUUAAAAAUAUUCAAGGUUUGUAUUUAAACUGUGCAAUUAGCUGGGAAUACGUUGUGAUUGAUUUAUAUAAUAGGUGUUUUGCCUGUACAGUG